AGCAGUGUGGCCUAGUGAAUAGAGCACUGGACUGGGAUUCAAGAGACCUGGGUUCUAUUUCCAGCUCUACAA
Non-coding RNA from Chelonia mydas (Green sea turtle), 72 nucleotides. NCBI's taxonomy places the organism in Eukaryota, Metazoa, Chordata, Testudines, Cheloniidae. The record is from Rfam.